UCAAUUUAAUUUGAAUUAUAUAAUUUAUUUAUUUGUAAUGUUUUAAAUUUAAUUUUUAAUAAAAAUAUUUUUUUUUUUUUAUAAAUUUAGAUAAAAUUAUUUUAAUUAUAGGGAAUUAAGUAUAGUGAUAGAAUAUUGAAAUAAUUUAAAAAAAAAAAUUUUUAAAAGAAAAUUUUAAUUAUUGUACCUUGUGUAUCAGGGUUUAUUAAAUAAUUUUUAUAAAUUUUAAUUUUCUCGAAUUUAAAAGAGUUAAGAAAUUAUAGAUUUUAUUGUGAAAUAAAUAUUUAAAAUAAUUUUUUAGUAAUGAUACGUUAUUCGUUUUUAAAUUUAUCUAGUUUUUUAAGAAAUAAAUUUAAUUUAGUUAUUUAUUUUUAUGAUAAUUAUUAAAAAUUAUAAUAAAGUAAAUAAUAAAUAUUUUAAGGGAUGAGCUUUAAAAUAGAUUUUGAAAAAUAAAAUUUAGUUAUUUAAAAUUUAUAGAAGUGGAAGUAUUAAUUUUAAUUUAGUGUGUUAUAACAAAUUUUAUAUAAUUUAUAAUUUUUAUAAUAUUUUCAAUUUUUUAUUAAAAUUAUUAAUUUAAUUUAAAAUUUAAUGAAAUAAUGAUAAAAUUAGUAUAAUUAAUUAGUGUUUAUUUGGUUUAUUAUAUUAAGGUUAAAUUAAGGAAUUCGGCAAAUGAUUUUUUCGCCUGUUUAAUAAAAACAUGUCUUUUUGAUAAUAAUUUAAAGUCUGACCUGCCCUAUGAUUAAAAUUAAAUGGCCGCGAUAAUUUGAUCGUGCAAAGGUAGCAUAAUAAUUAGUUUCUUAAUUAGGAACUGGUAUGAAAGGUUGAACGAAAAAAGAACUGUCUCGAUUUAAUUUGAAUUAGAAUUUUAUUUUUAAGUUAAAAAGCUUAAAUAUUUUUAAAAGACGAGAAGACCCUAUAGAGUUUUAUAUUUAUAUAAAUAUUUUAGAUUUUAGGAUUUUAUUUAUGAAAUUUUUAUAUCAUUAUUUGGUUGGGGUGAUUGAAAAAUUGAAUUAACUUUUUUUUGUAAUAUUUACAUAAAUAAGUGAAUUUAUGAUCCAUAAUUUAUGAUUAGAAGAUUAAAUUACCUUAGGGAUAACAGCGUAAUUUUUUUUAAGAGUUCUUAUCGAAAGAAAAGUUUGCGACCUCGAUGUUGGAUUAAAAUAAAUUUUUGGUGUAGAGGCUAAAUAUAUUAGGUCUGUUCGACCUUUAAAAUUUUACAUGAUCUGAGUUUAAACCGGUGUAAGCCAGGUUGGUUUCUAUCUUUAAAAAUAUAAAAUAUUUUAGUACGAAAGGAUCAAAUAUUUAUUAUAAUAGUUUAAUUAUGAAUAUUAUUAAUUUGGGAUUACUUUGGCAGAAUAGUGCUU
This 1364-nucleotide ribosomal RNA is filed under the name Onthophagus falculatus. RNAcentral describes it as "16S ribosomal RNA". The stretch from base 1092 to 1251 matches the Rfam family "Archaeal large subunit ribosomal RNA", at positions 2544 to 2703 of the family's 2987-position model. The record is from RNAcentral. Lineage: Eukaryota; Metazoa; Arthropoda; Insecta; Coleoptera; Scarabaeidae.